UGGCACCCAACGUGGGGCUCGAACCCACCACCCUGAGAUUAAGAGUCUCAUGCUCUUCCAUUUCACAUGUC
Molecule: small RNA, 71 nt
Filed under: Cricetulus griseus (Chinese hamster)
Lineage: Eukaryota; Metazoa; Chordata; Mammalia; Rodentia; Cricetidae
Description: tRNA-Lys
Source: RNAcentral